Molecule: ribosomal RNA, 331 nt
Filed under: uncultured bacterium
Lineage: Bacteria
Description: bacterial SSU rRNA
Rfam family: Bacterial small subunit ribosomal RNA
Source: RNAcentral
AAUGAACGCUAGUAGUAUGCUUAACACAUGCAAGUCGAACGAAAGUUUUACACUUUCGUGGCGUACGGGUGAGUAAAUGCAGAAUUCUUCCUUCCAGUUCAGUACAAAAUUGCUUCUAGUAAUAAAUUCUGAAUAUUUUUAAAGGUUUAUUCCGCUGAAAGAUGAAUCUGCUUAAGAUUAGGUUGUUGGUAAUUUAAAAGCUUACCAAGCCGAUGAUCUUUAGUUGGUCUGAGAGGAUGAUCAACCACACUGGAACUGAAACAAGGUCCAGGCUAAUUCGUUGGCCAGCAGUGAGGAAUAUUGGAGUCAAUGAACGAAAGUUUGAUCCAGC